AUAGCGUAUAUUAAAGUUGUUGUGGUUAAAAAGCUCGUAGUUGAACCUUGGGCCUGGCUGGCCGGUCCGCCUCACCGCGUGUACUGGUCCGGCCGGGUCUUUCCCUCUGUGGAACCCCAUGCCCUUCACUGGGUGUGGCGGGGAAACAGGACUUUUACUUUGAAAAAAUUAGAGUGCUCCAGGCAGGCCUAUGCUCGAAUACAUUAGCAUGGAAUAAUGAAAUAGGACGUGCGGUUCUAUUUUGUUGGUUUCUAGGACCAUCGUAAUGAUUAAUAGGGAUAGUCGGGGGCAUCAGUAUUCAAUCGUCAGAGGUGAAAUUCUUGGAUCGAUUGAAGACUAACUACUG
RNAcentral lists this ribosomal RNA (346 nucleotides) under uncultured eukaryote. Its description in RNAcentral is "SSU rRNA". It matches the Rfam family "Eukaryotic small subunit ribosomal RNA", at positions 594 to 945 of the family's 1831-position model. The record is from RNAcentral.